CUUGAAGAUGACAAGGUAGAUAGGUCCGAGGUGGAAGCGUGGCGACACGUGUAGCUGACGGAUACUAAUCGAUCGAGGACUUAACUAA
RNAcentral lists this ribosomal RNA (88 nucleotides) under Anoxybacillus mongoliensis. RNAcentral describes it as "partial 23S ribosomal RNA". It matches the Rfam family "Bacterial large subunit ribosomal RNA", at positions 2837 to 2925 of the family's 2925-position model. The record is from RNAcentral. Lineage: Bacteria; Bacillati; Bacillota; Bacilli; Caryophanales; Anoxybacillaceae.